CGCACGGGUGAGUAACACGUGAGUGACCUGCCUUUUAGACUGGAACAACUUACCGAAAGGUGAGCUAAUGCCGGAUGAGUUAUAUAAGUGCAUGUUUAUAUAGGAAAAGUUGGGGAGACCUGACGCUGAAAGAUGGACUCGCGUCCCAUUAGCUAGUUGGUAGGGUAAUGGCCUACCAAGGCGACGAUGGGUAGCCGGCCUGAGAGGGUGGCCGGCCACACUGGGACUAAGACACGGCCCAGACUCCUACGGAAGGCAGCAG
This 262-nucleotide ribosomal RNA is filed under the name uncultured bacterium. RNAcentral's name for it is "partial 16S ribosomal RNA". It matches the Rfam family "Bacterial small subunit ribosomal RNA", at positions 99 to 354 of the family's 1533-position model. The record is from RNAcentral.